AAAUUGAAGAGUUUGAUCAUGGCUCAGAUUGAACGCUGGCGGCAGGCCUAACACAUGCAAGUCGAACGGUAGCACAGAGAGCUUGCUCUCGGGUGACGAGUGGCGGACGGGUGAGUAAUGUCUGGGAAACUGCCUGAUGGAGGGGGAUAACUACUGGAAACGGUAGCUAAUACCGCAUAACGUCGCAAGACCAAAGAGGGGGACCUUCGGGCCUCUUGCCAUCAGAUGUGCCCAGAUGGGAUUAGCUAGUAGGUGGGGUAAUGGCUCACCUAGGCGACGAUCCCUAGCUGGUCUGAGAGGAUGACCAGCCACACUGGAACUGAGACACGGUCCAGACUCCUACGGGAGGCAGCAGUGGGGAAUAUUGCACAAUGGGCGCAAGCCUGAUGCAGCCAUGCCGCGUGUAUGAAGAAGGCCUUCGGGUUGUAAAGUACUUUCAGCGGGGAGGAAGGUGUUGUGGUUAAUAACCGCAGCAAUUGACGUUACCCGCAGAAGAAGCACCGGCUAACUCCGUGCCAGCAGCCGCGGUAAUACGGAGGGUGCAAGCGUUAAUCGGAAUUACUGGGCGUAAAGCGCACGCAGGCGGUCUGUCAAGUCGGAUGUGAAAUCCCCGGGCUCAACCUGGGAACUGCAUUCGAAACUGGCAGGCUAGAGUCUUGUAGAGGGGGGUAGAAUUCCAGGUGUAGCGGUGAAAUGCGUAGAGAUCUGGAGGAAUACCGGUGGCGAAGGCGGCCCCCUGGACAAAGACUGACGCUCAGGUGCGAAAGCGUGGGGAGCAAACAGGAUUAGAUACCCUGGUAGUCCACGCCGUAAACGAUGUCGACUUGGAGGUUGUGCCCUUGAGGCGUGGCUUCCGGAGCUAACGCGUUAAGUCGACCGCCUGGGGAGUACGGCCGCAAGGUUAAAACUCAAAUGAAUUGACGGGGGCCCGCACAAGCGGUGGAGCAUGUGGUUUAAUUCGAUGCAACGCGAAGAACCUUACCUACUCUUGACAUCCAGAGAACUUUCCAGAGAUGGAUUGGUGCCUUCGGGAACUCUGAGACAGGUGCUGCAUGGCUGUCGUCAGCUCGUGUUGUGAAAUGUUGGGUUAAGUCCCGCAACGAGCGCAACCCUUAUCCUUUGUUGCCAGCGGUCCGGCCGGGAACUCAAAGGAGACUGCCAGUGAUAAACUGGAGGAAGGUGGGGAUGACGUCAAGUCAUCAUGGCCCUUACGAGUAGGGCUACACACGUGCUACAAUGGCGCAUACAAAGAGAAGCGACCUCGCGAGAGCAAGCGGACCUCAUAAAGUGCGUCGUAGUCCGGAUUGGAGUCUGCAACUCGACUCCAUGAAGUCGGAAUCGCUAGUAAUCGUAGAUCAGAAUGCUACGGUGAAUACGUUCCCGGGCCUUGUACACACCGCCCGUCACACCAUGGGAGUGGGUUGCAAAAGAAGUAGGUAGCUUAACCUUCGGGAGGGCGCUUACCACUUUGUGAUUCAUGACUGGGGUGAAGUCGUAACAAGGUAACCGUAGGGGAACCUGCGGUUGGAUCACCUCCUUACCUUAAAGAA
This 1550-nucleotide ribosomal RNA is filed under the name Enterobacter kobei. RNAcentral describes it as "bacterial SSU rRNA". It matches the Rfam family "Bacterial small subunit ribosomal RNA". Lineage: Bacteria; Pseudomonadati; Pseudomonadota; Gammaproteobacteria; Enterobacterales; Enterobacteriaceae. RNAcentral also lists the same sequence under 1 other name. The record is from RNAcentral.